UUGCGGCCCCGGCCAUCCGCACCGGCCCGGCAGGCUGCCCCAAGCUGCUGGUCCCCCCUGGGCUGCACCACCAGCAGGCCCUCCCCCCCACCAAGCCCCAGGACCUUCCCCUCGACUACACCAAAGAGGAGGAGCCUGUCCUCCUCAAGACCGGGGAGGGCGCUGAGCUCCAGGUGCGGAAAUACAGCGUCAUCGACGACCUACACAGAGGGCGCUUCUCGUGUGUGGGGCGCCGAAUCUGUGUAUCAUACA
Long non-coding RNA from Hyalella azteca, 252 nucleotides. RefSeq lists it as uncharacterized. The record is from RefSeq and is a predicted model, not a curated record. NCBI's taxonomy places the organism in Eukaryota, Metazoa, Arthropoda, Malacostraca, Amphipoda, Hyalellidae. The transcript has 3 exons.